GGGGCUAUAGCUCAGCUGGGAGAGCGCUUGCAUGGCAUGCAAGAGGUCACGGUUCGAUCCCGCUUAGCUCCACCA
RNAcentral lists this transfer RNA (75 nucleotides) under Klebsiella pneumoniae. Its description in RNAcentral is "tRNA-Ala". It matches the Rfam family "tRNA". Rfam says of the family: Transfer RNA (tRNA) molecules are approximately 80 nucleotides in length. The record is from RNAcentral. Lineage: Bacteria; Pseudomonadati; Pseudomonadota; Gammaproteobacteria; Enterobacterales; Enterobacteriaceae. RNAcentral also lists the same sequence under 1 other name.